GACGAACGCUGGCGGCGUGCUUAACACAUGCAAGUCGAACGGUAAGGCUCCAGCUUGCUGGGGUACACGAGUGGCGAACGGGUGAGUAACACGUGGGUGACCUGCCCUGCACUUCGGGAUAAGCCUGGGAAACUGGGUCUAAUACCGGAUAGGACCAUGGUGUGGAUACUGUGGUGGAAAGUUUUUUCGGUGUGGGAUGGGCCCGCGGCCUAUCAGCUUGUUGGUGGGGUAAUGGCCUACCAAGGCGGCGACGGGUAGCCGGCCUGAGAGGGUGGACGGCCACAUUGGGGCUGAGACACGGCCCAGACUCCUACGGGAGGCAGCAGUGGGGAAUAUUGCACAAUGGGCGGAAGCCUGAUGCAGCGACGCCGCGUGGGGGAUGACGGCCUUCGGGUUGUAAACUCCUUUCACCAUCGACGAAGGGUUUCUGACGGUAGAUGGAGAAGAAGCACCGGCUAACUACGUG
RNAcentral lists this ribosomal RNA (466 nucleotides) under uncultured bacterium. Its description in RNAcentral is "partial 16S ribosomal RNA". It matches the Rfam family "Bacterial small subunit ribosomal RNA", at positions 28 to 507 of the family's 1533-position model. The record is from RNAcentral.